UACGGAGGGGGCUAGCGUUGUUCGGAAUUACUGGGCGUAAAGCGCACGUAGGCGGCUUUGUAAGUUAGAGGUGAAAGCCCAGGGCUCAACCCUGGAAUUGCCUUUAAGACUGCAUCGCUUGAACAUCGGAGAGGUAAGUGGAAUUCCGAGUGUAGAGGUGAAAUUCGUAGAUAUUCGCAAGAACACCAGUGGCGAAGGCGGCUCACUGGCCCGAUACUGACGCUGAGGCACGAAAGCGUGGGGAGCAAACAGG
RNAcentral lists this ribosomal RNA (253 nucleotides) under uncultured bacterium. RNAcentral describes it as "partial 16S ribosomal RNA". It matches the Rfam family "Bacterial small subunit ribosomal RNA", at positions 524 to 776 of the family's 1533-position model. The record is from RNAcentral.